UGGGGAAUUUUGGACAAUGGGCGAAAGCCUGAUCCAGCAAUGCCGCGUGUGUGAAGAAGGCCUUCGGGUUGUAAAGCACUUUUGUCCGGAAAGAAAUCCUUGGCUCUAAUACAGUCGGGGGAUGACGGUACCGGAAGAAUAAGCACCGGCUAACUACGUGCCAGCAGCCGCGGUAAUACGUAGGGUGCAAGCGUUAAUCGGAAUUACUGGGCGUAAAGCGUGCGCAGGCGGUUUGCUAAGACCGAUGUGAAAUCCCCGGGCUCAACCUGGGAACUGCAUUGGUGACUGGCAGGCUAGAGUAUGGCAGAGGGGGGUAGAAUUCCACGUGUAGCAGUGAAAUGCGUAGAGAUGUGGAGGAAUACCGAUGGCGAAGGCAGCCCCCUGGGCCAAUACUGACGCUCAUGCACGAAAGCGUGGGGAGCAAACAGGAUUAGAUACCCUGGUAGUCCACGCCCUAAACGAUGUCAACUAGUUGUUGGGGAUUCAUUUCCUUAGUAACGUAGCUAACGCGUGAAGUUGACCGCCUGGGGAGUACGGUCGCAAGAUUAAAACUCAAAUGAAUUGACGAGGUCAUAGCUGUUUCCU
This 585-nucleotide ribosomal RNA is filed under the name uncultured bacterium. RNAcentral's name for it is "partial 16S ribosomal RNA". It matches the Rfam family "Bacterial small subunit ribosomal RNA", at positions 355 to 1375 of the family's 1533-position model. The record is from RNAcentral.